Molecule: long non-coding RNA, 300 nt
Filed under: Cyanistes caeruleus (blue tit)
Lineage: Eukaryota; Metazoa; Chordata; Aves; Passeriformes; Paridae
Description: lncRNA (ENSCCEG00000013008.1)
Source: RNAcentral
GAACUGCUUCAUGCUGAGCAACUUUGGCAUCUGUGCAGCUCCUCGGUCUUGUCAGGCAGUGGGAAGCUGAGCAACCUUUUUGGAGAAAACCACCAGGCAGUACCUGCUCCCUACACAGAGCAAUAUCACCUGAUGGAUCCAAGGGCUGCACAGAGCUCUCCAGGGAAAAACUACCUGCUGCAAUUCAGACUGCUACUAACUGAGCGGAUUCAAGGCCACAUUGUUCCCGCCCUCCACUCAAGCGACCUAUCUACAAAACAGCUGAAUUAAUAACAAAAAUAAAAGGAGAAAGACAUCCCA